AGAAAGGGGGCAACCCUGAGUAAAGCGGCGUACGGGUGAGUAACACGUGGGUGAUCUACCUCUUAGUGGGGAAUACCCCUGGGAAACCGGGGACAAUACCGCAUAAGCCUGAGAAGGGAAAGCAGCAAUGCGCUGAGAGAGGAGCCCGCGGCCGAUUAGCUAGUUGGUAGGGUAAAAGCCUACCAAGGCGACGAUCGGUAGCCGGCCUGAGAGGGCACACGGCCACACUGGCACUGAAACACGGGCCAGACUCCUACGGGAGGCAGCAGUGGGGAAUCUUGCACAAUGGAGGAAACUCUGAUGCAGCGACGCCGCGUGAGCGAUGAAGCCCUUCGGGGUGUAAAGCUCUUUCGACGGGGACGAUAAUGACGGUACCCGGAGAAGAAGCUGCGGCUAACUACGUGCCAGCAGCCGCGGUAAUACGUAGGCAGCGAGCGUUGUUCGGAAUUACUGGGCGUAAAGAGUGUGUAGGCGGUGCUCUAAGUUCGGUGUGAAAUCUCCUGGCUUAACUGGGAGGGUGCGCCGGAAACUGGAGUGCUCGAGCGUGGGAGAGGAAAGCGGAAUUCCUGGUGUAGCGGUGAAAUGCGUAGAUAUCAGGAGGAACACCUGCGGUGUAGACGGCUUUCUGGACCAUUGCUGACGCUGAGACACGAAAGCGUGGGUAGCAAACAGGAUUAGAUACCCUGGUAGUCCACGCCCUAAACGAUGCAUACUUGGUGUCGGCCAUUCAGUUGGUCGGUGCCGGAGCUAACGCGUUAAGUAUGCCGCCUGGGGAGUACGGUCGCAAGGCUGAAACUCAA
RNAcentral lists this ribosomal RNA (800 nucleotides) under uncultured Bacillota bacterium. RNAcentral describes it as "bacterial SSU rRNA". It matches the Rfam family "Bacterial small subunit ribosomal RNA", at positions 70 to 904 of the family's 1533-position model. Lineage: Bacteria; Bacillati; Bacillota. The record is from RNAcentral.